CAAAGGAAUUGACGGGGCCCGCACAAGCAGUGGAGUAUGUGGUUUAAUUCGAAGCAACGCGAAGAACCUUACCAGGGCUUGACACCCCUGACCGCGUAUGAAAGUACGUUUUCACCCUCGGGUGACAGGGAGACAGGUGGUGCAUGGUUGUCGUCAGGCUCGUGUCGUGAGAUGUUGGGUUAAGUCCCGCAACGAGCGCAACCCCUACGUUUAGUUGCUAACGCGUGAAGGCGAGCACUCUAGACGAACUGCCGUUGACAAAACGGAGGAAGGUGGGAUGACGUCAAAUCAUCAUGCCCCUUAUGUUCUGGGCUACACACGUGCUACAAUGGCCGGUACAGACGGACGCAAAGCCGCGAGGUGGAGCAAAUCCUAAAAAGCCGGUCUCAGUUCGGAUUGCAGGCUGCAAUUCGCCUGCAUGAAGUCGGAAUCGCUAGUAAUCGCAGGUCAGCAUACUGCGGUGAAUACGUUCCCGGGCCUU
RNAcentral lists this ribosomal RNA (481 nucleotides) under uncultured Pelotomaculum sp. Its description in RNAcentral is "bacterial SSU rRNA". It matches the Rfam family "Bacterial small subunit ribosomal RNA", at positions 902 to 1382 of the family's 1533-position model. The record is from RNAcentral. Lineage: Bacteria; Bacillati; Bacillota; Clostridia; Eubacteriales; Desulfotomaculaceae.